This 253-nucleotide ribosomal RNA is filed under the name uncultured bacterium. RNAcentral's name for it is "partial 16S ribosomal RNA". It matches the Rfam family "Bacterial small subunit ribosomal RNA", at positions 524 to 776 of the family's 1533-position model. The record is from RNAcentral.
UACAGAGACUGCAAGCGUUAUUCGGAUUCACUGGGCGUAAAGGGUGCGCAGGCGGCCAAGUGUGUCAGGUGUGAAAUCCCGAGGCUUAACCUUGGAACUGCGCCUGAAACUACUUGGCUAGAGUACUGGAGAGGGUAACGGAAUUCACGGUGUAGCAGUGAAAUGCGUAGAUAUCGUGAGGAACACCAGAGGCGAAGGCGGUUACCUGGACAGUUACUGACGCUCAGGCACGAAAGCGUGGGGAGCAAAAGGG